Molecule: non-coding RNA, 29 nt
Filed under: Mus musculus (house mouse)
Lineage: Eukaryota; Metazoa; Chordata; Mammalia; Rodentia; Muridae
Source: RNAcentral
UGAGCAUCAGUAGCAGUUCAGGGGUGCAA